GAAAUUCUAGUUGAUAUAGUUGUACAGGAUGUUUGCUUUUGCCCGCUGGACAUGCAUUAUAAUAGUGGCAAAAUGAAGCAACUCAUAAAUGUUUGAGUAAGAGAUUACCUUUUCAUUUGAUGAUCUAGGCACAUGAUUAUAUCUGAGGAUUGACAGACUGAUACAUGUCUACUGAAAACCAAAGAGUCCACUAAUUUAAUAAUUUAGUGAAAGAUAUUCUUUGUAUAGGUAUAUGUUGAUAUACAUAAGGAGGCAAAACUGGGUAAUCCAUGAGCACAUACAUGGCACUCGAUCCCUUUGCAAAGUUUGCAUCUCCAUUGUUGUGUUGGUGCUUACUAAGAUUGGAUUAACUCAUAAAGAAUUACUGCUGAAUGCACUGACAAUUGCUUUGCAAUUUUUGAGAUUUUGCUACACAAUAGUAGGAGUAGGGACAGAGAGAGUAAACCGGAAGCCUAUGAAAUAUAUUUUUCGAAUUAUUAAAAUUCUACAACACUUUGACCAGUAAGUUUCUUCCAAGUUGUUAGUGAUGAAGAGUCAAUAUUUCUAAUAUUUAGGAGACAGAGAUUUGAAUCUAUGAAACUAUCUUCUAGAUGUGUUGUCAGAUAUAAUUACGUAGUGUAGUGCCACCUUCUCCUUUCAAUUUGACAAACAUAUAUGUUUUAUUAGAUGCUUAUUUAGCUUCCUUUCUGGCGCUAUACUUGAAGAAAUUAUCUUCUCUCACACAUUAUGUCACUGAAUGCAUUGAAGGUGAUAGUUAGUGACCACGGCAUGACUGAGAGUGGUAACCAUGGUGGUUCUUCAUUUGAAGAAACUGAUUCAUUGGCUGUUUUUGUUGAUCUGGGUGAUCACACACUUGACCAUGCAUCAACUACAGGCAAUUCAGCAAACCAGGUACUCUAUCAAUUUCCACAAUUUAAUUGUUAUGGGGAGUAGAACCGGCUUGCUUGAGGGACAAACAAUCGCAAUGAAGCCAGAACUGGAUAGGAAUUUCUUGCAAACAGUAAUCACAAAAAAGCAGAUUUCUUCACGCAUCACAAAGAGGCUUCUUAAGCAUCAAACUGAAGAAGAUAUCUGCAUCAAAUACUUCAAAAGAAAACUCUAGCUAAAAUUUCAUUAAACUUCGUCAACGCACAUGCGCAUAUUGUAUAUGUACUGUAUAGUUAUAGUCCAAAGGGAAGCGAAGAUCCUUGGAAUCUUACUCUAAGUAGGAAUUGGAAACUCAUUAAGAAUCCUAUUUGAUGUCUAAUCUCUCAUUACGAUAAGCAAACCUGACAGGAACUUUCAACCUCAAAACUUUCGCCUGAAUAUUCCACAAUAUACCCAUGCUAGCUGGAAGAAUAAAUAAUGAUUAUGUAUUACCAAACAAAGGGCAAGAUUGUAAUUUAAGAUGCAAAUGGAAUUAUCAUAUUUAUUUGAUAAAUCUAUCUUAUUGAGAUUCUAUAUAUAAAUAAAUUUCCUUAUCUGUCAAUAGUUUGAAUCUCUUUCAUAAAAUAACUCAGAUCAUAUUGUUCCUUUCCUCUAUUAAAACAUAUUCCAUAUUUUGCACACACAUAUGAAUGCCAUUAUUGCUGUUGCUAUUAUAUAAGACUAACAGUCAAUAUUAGGAAAUUAGAUAAAUGUAAGCUGGACGUGGAGAAUGGAAUUUCGUGACAUUGUUUCGUGAUUAAAUACAUCCUUGAGGUGGUUAAUUUCCUCAUUAUGUAAUUCUUACAGGUAUGUGGAGUACUUCUUUAAAAUUAACUUAUAACAAAAUAAAUGCAAGAAGCAAAUUUUGAAAUCUCUCGCUAAAUUUCUCCAAUGAAAAGCGACAUGGUGCAAACAAGAAAGGCAUAAUCUUCUGAAUGAUGACUUGUCAAACAGGCAGUUGAUUACUUUUAUAAAUUUCUAGUACAAGAAAAAAUACUGGACCCUGAAAUAAAAAUUUGCGAAUUCAGAAAAUCAAGUAAGAGCCAAGGGUAAAGAGAUUUCAGUUUCUAAAUAUUCUCACCAAUAUUGGUUUUAGUUACAAUGCCGUGUUUUUUACAAUUUUAAUAAUUAUGACCAACUAAUAGUCCAAUAACCUUCCAUUCUUCACUUAUUCUUUGUGAUGCAGAUUGACAUUGCAGGCACUGUAGCUCUCCUCUUCAAUGUACCGAUACCAAAAAACAAUAUUGGAGUUGUCAUCCCACAUGCUCUUAACUUUAUGACAGGUCCUCUCUCUCUCUCUCUCUCUCUCUCUCUCUCUCUCUCUCUCUCUCUCUGUGUGUGUGUGGACAUGCAUGGUUCACCAAGUCAACAAUUUUCAAAUAUCAACUGCUGGACGAUGAUGUCAAGCAUUUCUCCUCAUAUCGGCUGUGUCCAAUGGGAGUUUCCUUGGUGCAAAUAGAUCAAGUCUUUCAAAUCCAAGAAGGAUUUUUUCAGCUCACCCAUCAAAUAAUAGAUUUCAUGGUGUUUCGUCAUGGUUAUCUCUCUUGGAUUCAUUCAUUGUAGUUUGAGAUCUAUAAUAGGGAAGUUUUGUUGACCAGAGUAUUGCUUCCAGUAAUCUCCAAUGGUUGUAGCGUUUUUCUUGGCAGUUAGUGGGGUUAAUGGGAAAGCCACAUCAGUUUUAUUCUGUGCUCUUUGUUGUCUUUUGAACAUGCUGUUUUUCAUCAAUUAUGAGAAGAAUAAGGUAUAAUUAUCACGUUUAUUUCUGUUGACAUAAUUUGUGCAAGUGGAAAUAAAAAAAGAAUAGUAUUUUGGUCGCAAUUACUUAUUUGGUGCAUGUGCAUAUGGAUUUUCGAGAAAUUACCAUGACACAUCUGUAUAGGAUGAAGAUCCUCUUUGGUUCUGUUCCUUCUUUUGUUGUUGUAUAAUUACGAAAUAUCCGGAAAUAUAACGAGUAUUAUGCAUAGUUCUUUCUUCUUCUUCUUCUUUUUUUUUUUUUUUGAAAAUUUUUAACGUGAAGUUCUUAUACAUAACAAUGUCUAUCUGUUACAUUAGUUUAGUUGUUUGAUCUAAUUUUAAAUUGUGAAAAAAACCAACACAACAUUGGUUGGAAAUAGCAAACUGAAUCAUUAUAAGCUUCCAUUAGUUCUUUGAAAAGCUCCUGAAGGUAGGAGACCAAGUUUGCAUCUUUUAAGUGGUCAGCAAUUUCAGGAAUAAUUAACAGUGAUUGUGAAUAAUUUGUGAUAGUGGUGGUAGCUGGUGUGGGCUAUUUGUGUUAGCAAGGAAAAGGUAAAAUUACCUAAUUUUUGCAAUUUUUUUUUUUUAAUUNNNNNNNNNNNNNNNNNNNNNNNNNNNNNNNNNNNNNNNNNNNNNNNNNNNNNNNNNNNNNNNNNNNNNNNNNNNNNNNNNNNNNNNNNNNNNNNNNNNNGUCCAUAUUAAAUAUAUCUGUUAACUAGUAGAGGAACGUAGGGCCAAAUCAAGAAAUGCUGGAUUUGAAGUAUUUUAGAUUGGUUGCUAGGUGGUUGGUUUAUUCCUUUAUUUGACUGAAGAAGAUUUCAGUUAUCAUCUUGUAGGUUCUGCAUCGACAUGCGAACGUUGGUUUCCUAGAUCUUCCUCUUAUUCUACUUCUAUCUGGGUCCUUUUUACCUUCGAUUUAUAAGAAAUAAUGACCACUUUAUAUUCUCUUAAUAUGUGCAGAUGCUGAAAAGAUGAGAGCUUUAGAGUUAAACUCUUGGCAGUUGUUAAGAUUGUUACAGGCCCAGUUAUCUGGUCUACCCUGUGAACAUGUUUUAGUAGAGGAAAACACUGGAGAUACAAAAUCAGUGGUCACUGAGUGCGGUGGAAACAUAGAGCAGGUCUUCUGUUGCUUAUAUCAGAAUGCUGCCGUCCUCCACAGGUCCUGGAAGUUCAAGAGGAUCUUUGUGUAAUAAUUCUUUAAAGCAUCACAGAUUCAAAUACCUAAUGAAUGUUACAUGAGCAAAAUUAUGAUUCUUUGUUCUCUUGGCACUCACUUUUAAAGGUCAAACAUUGAAGACUACAAGAGCGCUGCCGCAGCAUAUUAUGUGUUCUUGAGGACUGUAAGUCAGUGGUUAGCACGCAGAAUGACUGAUGUAUGUGUCUUUUUGAUCCACUGAAAAUAGAUUGCUUCUUUGUUGGGACAUUGAUUCAAUUUUACUGGUGAACAUGAUGCAUAUAAUACCGUAGAAGAGCACACAAAACCGGAUGUGAUUUAAUCUUUUCCUUUUAUAACUUUAUUUUUUCCAUGCAGUAACAAGUAAGCAUUUUGCAGAAACCUGUCGGCCUGCUUGUUGUUGGAAUUUAGCAAUGAUUCUCUCAUGUUUGAUCUUUCUGGGGCUUGUAUUUCAUUUGAAUGAGGCCUUGUAUGUUAGAGAAGACCAUCAGAUUUCCAGCUUGAAAAAAUAUGCCUUUUCAUGGCAUUUGGAUGAGAUCUUCCUCGUGGGUGCUACAUUGAUUCAUGUCAUAAGCAUGGGAUCCAGUUCUAUGGUAGAGGAGGAGCAAUAUAUUUGGCAUUUUGUGUUGUCGACAUUUUAUCUGUUACUAAUUCGGAAGACUGCACAGACCAUUCUAGCAGAUAGAACUCAAAGUUCAGUUGGGUUGUCCAUGUCUCUGAAUGGAAAGAUCAGCUAUCUAAUUAUAUCCCUCUUUUCUGUACUUGUAUUGGGAAGAAUUUUGAGAGCCUGGCACCAGGGUGGUAUAAACUGGGUAAAUCUUCCUGAUAUUUCUAAAUGGCUAAAACUGGCAGGACAUGAAUAUGUGAAACGACUUUGGCUGCUGGCGUGCCUGUCGGUGAUCAUCUUAAGUAUAUAUGUUCUAACAUUCUUAUGGACAAGAAGGAAAAUGGUUUUAGUGGUCGGAUUCAGCUUUUUUAUCCCAGGAUUGAUGGUUUUGAAAUAUAUAAUUAGUCACGAGGAUGAUACAUCAGGGUCAUUUACAUACAGCUACGGUUCCACUGUAUCAGCACAGAAGAUAUAUAGAGUUCUUGGUGCUCUUACGGUUGUGGCUGUCGUAGCUGUACCAUGGCUAAUACAUAUUUGGACUUCCAAGGCAUGCUCUAAUGGUGAUAUCUGCUUGUCUACUUCUGGUUCCCAUGACAUUCUAAAGUUGCCUCCGCUGAUGGAGAUGAGAGACUCAUUUUAUGUCAUAGGGUGGGCAUACAUAUUUUGUUGGUGUCUCCUUCAACUGUUGCUCCAACAGCCAACAAAUUCGUUGCCUGUGCUUUUGCUGCUUGUGCAGAUCUAUGCCAGCAUGCUUCAUUCUUUCAGUGCUGUGCCUGCUCAUAAGCAUUGGAUUGAGGUCAGUUACAAUGGCAUCUUCUGUGGUUCUGCCCACAUCUCAAUGCAAGCUAGAUUACCUGUUCUCUAGAGUAACUGUUGCAUCUGGUUAAGAAUAUUUUACCAUCAUUAGUGGUUUAAGAAAAAGAUCAAAUCCUUAAGUGACAAGUCAUCAUUCUUGUGCUAUCAAGUUCCUCUUCGGACAUAAUGGCUUGGGGAUGUGAUUCAAAUCUAUUUAAAUUUCUAGAAGCAGGCAUAGCGACACAAAAGCACUCUAAUAAAGAGAAGGGAUUUUUGUAUAAGUUAAUUUCUUUUUGAAAUCCUCUUAGUACUCUCUCUUUCUCCAGAAGCAGGCAUUCUUAUGUAGCAACAAGGAAUUCUUGUUCUUUCUGUGCUAAUAGAUCAUAGCCUUUUCUUUAUCUGAUCCUACUUUGCUGGACCACUCUGGUUCCAUGCCAGAUUUAGCAUGCGCCUGAAGGCAUUUAUGUGCUGGAUGGAUCAUAAACAGAAAAUACAACUUUUCUGCGAUUUCAUGCUCUGCUUGAAUAAAUGAAAAGAUAUUGCCAGAUCAGCUGUUCAUCUAGUCUCAAAUCAGAUGUAAUUAUCAUUCAAUUCUUCAGUUUUUAAAACUUCAAUAUCGAUAAACUUGACUUUUAGCUCUAUCAAAAUGCAUGUGCUUUUUGUCUCAUGAAUCGUAAUAUGCAUCUAGAGGAAAGGAUAAUUAUAUUUUACAAAACCCGAAUAGAUGUUUGGGGUAGCUUUCUUCGAACAGAUGUUAGGGAAGCUUGUGACUGUCCAUUUGAGCGCUUGUGACUGUCCAUUUGAGCACUUGUUGACAGCAAAUGCCAUGUGCAAGGGGUUAGGGAAGCUUGUGACUGUCCUUACUCAUUCCACAUGGCAGUUGGUCAACUGUUGGUUGACUUUCUUAGCGGUAGGAAGAUUUAUCCUGAAAAGCAAGGAGGGUUUUGGGGCAGGUUUUUUUGCUAGUUUCCACUGACGUUUUCUUAAAUUUUUGGCAAUCUUACACAUGGAGUGUCUUUAGCUGCGUCUAGUUUAUAUAUUGAUUCAUUAUGUUGGUCACAAUCUUGUAUUGACAUUGGUGGUUUUGCUGUCUAUGUAGGUCGCUGCACUUUACCAGUUGGGAAUGGCAGGUCAUUUUGCCCUCGGGAACAGCAACUCUCUAGCUACAAUUGAUGUUGCUGGUGCAUUCAUUGUAAGCAUCUCAUAAUCUGGAAUUUUUCUGCGGUUGGGACCUGGAGUACUAUAUCAGCAAAAGAUAGUUGCCUCAGUUUCCCUACUUCUUUACGUCAUGCAGGCGCUUCAGAUUUCUCGAUGCUAUCANNNNNNNNNNNNNNNNNNNNNNNNNNNNNNNNNNNNNNNNNNNNNNNNNNNNNNNNNNNNNNNNNNNNNNNNNNNNNNNNNNNNNNNNNNNNNNNNNNNNUACUUUGUGGAAUGCUAAUUUUGGAGAUCUCCUAAAGAUGAUGCUUGGUUUUCCUUGUGUAAUACCUUUGUGCCUGAAUUCAGUUAUGCUGACUGCAUACACUAUCAUACUGCUACUGAUGAGAAAUCACUUAUUCAUAUGGAGUGUCUUCUCUCCAAAGUAAGUCUUUCCAUACUUUAAAGCGCAUAUGUUAAUCUAUUACCAUGGAAUUUUUAUGAAAAUGUGGUGAUCAUAUAUAGCUAGUGUGGAUAAGACUAUUUCGUUGUAUGUUCCUUGUGGAUAUUUAAACUCUACUUGCAAUCUGGUCUCCGGGAUUAUUCUCAUCAUGCAUGUUGUUGAAGUUUUUGUUUUUCAAAUAUUAAUUGUGAACGAGAUUGUGGAUUCAACAUCUAUUUCAUGUAGCGGUUCCUACAUUUUGUUUCUUAUGUGAGAUAAAUUUGUCUUGUUUUAUUGAUUUUACCCGUAUGGCAAUGCUUUCGCCCUUUACAUGUGCUACUUUCUACCCUUCUUUCAAAGAGUGGUUAUUUUUGCACUUAAGUACAAUAUUGCAACACUUUUUGUUACCUCUACUUAGACAAUUCAUACUAAGUCAAUACUCAUAUUUCAUGAAGGUACCUUUAUGUCGCUGCUGCAACAGUUUGCAUUUAUUUGGGGGUUUUCAUCAUAGCUGCUACCGGAACUUAUAUAUACUUGGUGACGAUUUAUCGGAAAAGAUAAGAUUAGGAGCUUCAACGGCGGCAUGAGGUAGAUCUUCCUGUAGCCUUGCUCACUGAUGCUGACAAUUUUGGUACUUAUUUGCAGAUUUGUUCAAUUCUUUUGGCUUUGAGCCACUGCUCAUAGUACAUUCAAUUGGUAAUCAUUUCGAAAUGUUUCACUUUGCAAUGAUGAGUUGGACAUGUUAACGUGUUUGUCAACUUGAACAGUAAGAGAAUGGGUGAGACAAUUUUCCGGCCAGACUACGUUUGACCUUCUCUGUUUUGUUAUAGGGUUCGGUCUAUUCCAUAUAUAGAAAUUUUACUUGUGGUUUUGAAAAAUUUGAGUUUGUUCAAUCUGAGUCAUCCCACUUGCGAGAUUUGUGUGAUCGAGUCCUUAUGUCAUAAGCAUAUUUAAUAUUGUUGAUGUGGUUGAUGACAUGACAACUUCUUGGCAUUGUAAAAGAGAACAGUACAAUAUUCGCUUAAUGAAAACCAAACUCACUCUGCAAAAAGAGGAGAAAAGAUGAAGGCGAUGGGGGCGAGAUUAAGACACUCCAUCACCACCACACAACUGCUGUCGGCCGUUUGCCGUCACCACCGCCAGUUUCUCUUUCAAAAACCCUAACCUCUCUCACAAAGCUUAAUGUUGUUUCUAUGCGAGACUCCUCUUUAUUGGGGUUCUCCGGCAACUCUAAGCAAUGGCUAGACCAGCUGUCUGUUUUGGCGAGCCUCAGUUCAGGCCUGCCUAUAUUGCCUGUGGUUAAAAUGACGAUCAAGGCAACUGUAGCUUCUUGGAAUCCAAGGUAUUUGAG
Molecule: long non-coding RNA, 8143 nt
Filed under: Eucalyptus grandis
Lineage: Eukaryota; Viridiplantae; Streptophyta; Magnoliopsida; Myrtales; Myrtaceae
Description: long non-coding RNA (EGRA_LNC005478)
Source: RNAcentral